UACGUAGGUGGCAAGCGUUGUCCGGAUUUACUGGGCGUAAAGGAUGCGUAGGCGGAUGUUUAAGUGAGAUGUGAAAUACCCGGGCUCAACUUGGGUGCUGCAUUUCAAACUGGAUAUCUAGAGUGUCGGAGAGGUAAGUGGAAUUCCUAGUGUAGCGGUGAAAUGCGUAGAGAUUAGGAAGAACACCAGUGGCGAAGGCGACUUACUGGACGAUAACUGACGCUGAGGCAUGAAAGCGUGGGGAGCAAACAGG
Molecule: ribosomal RNA, 253 nt
Filed under: uncultured bacterium
Lineage: Bacteria
Description: partial 16S ribosomal RNA
Rfam family: Bacterial small subunit ribosomal RNA
Source: RNAcentral